CCUACGGGUGGCAGCAGUGAGGAAUAUUGGUCAAUGGACGAGAGUCUGAACCAGCCAAGUAGCGUGAAGGAUGACUGCCCUAUGGGUUGUAAACUUCUUUUAUAAAGGAAUAAAACGAGGCACGUGUGCCUUUUUGCAUGUACUUUAUGAAUAAGGAUCGGCUAACUCCGUGCCAGCAGCCGCGGUAAUACGGAGGAUCCGAGCGUUAUCCGGAUUUAUUGGGUUUAAAGGGAGCGUAGAUGGGUUGUUAAGUCAGUUGGGAAAGUUUGCGGCUCAACCGUCAAAUUGCCAUUGAUACUGGCAGUCUUGAGAAGAGGUGAGGUAGGCGGAAUUCGUAGUGUAGCGGUGAAAUGCUUAGAUAUCGCGAAGAACCCCGAUUGCGAAGGCAGCUUACUAAACUGUGACUGACAUUGAUGCUCGAAAGUGUGGGUAUCAAACAGGAUUAGAUACCCUGGUAGUC
RNAcentral lists this ribosomal RNA (460 nucleotides) under uncultured bacterium. RNAcentral describes it as "partial 16S ribosomal RNA". It matches the Rfam family "Bacterial small subunit ribosomal RNA", at positions 338 to 795 of the family's 1533-position model. The record is from RNAcentral.